GACGAACGCUGGCGGCGUGCUUAACACAUGCAAGUCGAACGGAAAGGCCCUGCUUUUGUGGGGUGCUCGAGUGGCGAACGGGUGAGUAACACGUGAGUAACCUGCCCUUGACUUUGGGAUAACUUCAGGCAACUGGGGCUAAUACCGGAUAGGAGCUCCUGCUGCAUGGUGGGGGUUGGAAAGUUUCGGCGGUUGGGGAUGGACUCGCGGCUUAUCAGCUUGUUGGUGGGGUAGUGGCUUACCAAGGCUUUGACGGGUAGCCGGCCUGGGAGGGUGACCGGCCACAUUGGGCCUGAGAUACGGCCCAGACUCCUACGGGAGGCAGCAGUGGGGAAUAUUGCACAAUGGGCGGAAGCCUGAUGCAGCAACGCCGCGUGCGGGAUGACGGCCUUCGGGUUGUAAACCGCUUUCGCCUGUGACGAAGCGUGAGUGACGGUAAUGGGUAAAGAAGCACCGGCUAACUACGUG
This 468-nucleotide ribosomal RNA is filed under the name uncultured bacterium. RNAcentral describes it as "partial 16S ribosomal RNA". It matches the Rfam family "Bacterial small subunit ribosomal RNA", at positions 28 to 507 of the family's 1533-position model. The record is from RNAcentral.